AGUUGCCUGCCGUGUUAGUCAGCUUCUACUUGUUUCGAACCUUGAUUUUUUUAAGGGAGUUCUAUAUUGAAGCACAGCCAACAGGCCAGCAUUUGUUCUGGACGUUGAACGGGCUUCUGCGAGCACCCACCUACGAGAGUAGGUUCAUGAAACAACUGAAGCAACGGCAUACGCGGGUUACCA
RNAcentral lists this non-coding RNA (183 nucleotides) under Halalkalibacter krulwichiae. RNAcentral's name for it is "Bacillus krulwichiae 6S / SsrS RNA". It matches the Rfam family "6S / SsrS RNA". From Rfam's summary of the family: E. coli 6S RNA was the first non coding RNA to be sequenced, but its function was unknown until recently. It consists of 184 nucleotides that fold into an extended hairpin structure with a large single-stranded internal bulge. Lineage: Bacteria; Bacillati; Bacillota; Bacilli; Caryophanales; Bacillaceae. The record is from Rfam by way of RNAcentral.